CUGCAAUCUCUGUCAAUUAACCUUCUGUUAGACAUAAUUUAUUCUUUUAGGAGAAGAGAUAAUUGCCUAUAUGCCCCUCAAAACUUCAUAAAUAUUUCAUUUACUCCUACUUUUUUAUUUUUCUUUCCAAUAUACCCCUCAAGCGUUCCUCCGUUAUUGCAAAAUACCACCGCAGUUACCACCCGUUAAGUUAAUUUGGGUUAAACUUGAGUUAAAAAUAUCUACCACAGUUAAAAAAAAUUAAAAUAUCACUUUUGCCCUUAACUUAAGGGCAAAUAAAAAGUAUUAGUAAUGGUAGAAGGGUAUAUUUGAAAUUAAAGACCAAAAAAUAAAAUACUUUUUGUGCCCCUAACCUAAGGGUAAAUAAGAAAAGUCGGUGAUGGUAGAAGGGUAUAUUUGAAAAGGCAAAAUAGUAAUUUCAUAGAGAUAACAGAGUUCAUUAACAGAUUUUAACUCUAGAGGUAUAUUAGAAAUAGGUUGAAACGUAAAAAAGGUAUUUUCAAUAUUAGCCUUCUAGGAGGGAUAAAUCAAAAAGUCGAGAACUUUUCAAGAGUAUAUAAGCAAUUGCCCCUAGGAGAAAUAGGUCUUUUCAAAUAUUUUGUAUCCAAAGCAUUA
RNAcentral lists this long non-coding RNA (615 nucleotides) under Ananas comosus (pineapple). RNAcentral's name for it is "long non-coding RNA (ACOM_LNC009980)". The record is from RNAcentral. Lineage: Eukaryota; Viridiplantae; Streptophyta; Magnoliopsida; Poales; Bromeliaceae.